This 433-nucleotide ribosomal RNA is filed under the name uncultured bacterium. RNAcentral describes it as "partial 16S ribosomal RNA". It matches the Rfam family "Bacterial small subunit ribosomal RNA", at positions 29 to 507 of the family's 1533-position model. The record is from RNAcentral.
AACGAACGCUGGCGGCAUGCCUAACACAUGCAAGUCGAACGAGACCUUCGGGUCUAGUGGCGCUCGGGUGCGUAACGCGUGGGAACCUGCCCUUAGGUUCGGAAUAACUCCCCGAAAGGGGUGCUAAUACCGGAUAAUGUCUUCGGACCAAAGAUUUAUCGCCCUUGGAUGGGCCCGCGUUGGAUUAGCUAGUUGGUAGGGUAAAAGCCUACCAAGGCGACGAUCCAUAGCUGGUCUGAGAGGAUGAUCAGCCACACUGGGACUGAGACACGGCCCAGACUCCUACGGGAGGCAGCAGUGGGGAAUAUUGGAACAUGGGCGAAAGCCUGAUCCAGCAAUGCCGCGUGAGUGAUGAAGGCCUUAGGGUUGUAAAGCUCUUUUACCCGGGAUGAUAAUGACAGUACCGGGAGAAUAAGCUCCGGCUAACUCCGUG